UACGGAGAGUGCAAGCAUUAAUCGGAAUUAUUGGGCGUAAAGGGCGCGUAGGCGGAAUGAUAAGUCAGAUGUGAAAUACCGAAGCUCAACUUCGGUGCUGCAUUUGAAACUAUCAAUCUAGAGGGUUGACGGAGAAAACGGAAUUCCACGUGUAGCGGUGAAAUGCGUAGAUAUGUGGAAGAACACCAGUGGCGAAAGCGGUUUUCUAGUUUAUACCUGACGCUGAGGCGCGAGAGCAAGGGGAGCAAACAGG
This 253-nucleotide ribosomal RNA is filed under the name uncultured bacterium. Its description in RNAcentral is "partial 16S ribosomal RNA". It matches the Rfam family "Bacterial small subunit ribosomal RNA", at positions 524 to 776 of the family's 1533-position model. The record is from RNAcentral.